RNAcentral lists this small RNA (28 nucleotides) under Bombyx mori (domestic silkworm). RNAcentral's name for it is "ovarian small RNA-32938". Lineage: Eukaryota; Metazoa; Arthropoda; Insecta; Lepidoptera; Bombycidae. The record is from RNAcentral.
UGAUGUGAACUGAUAAACCAUCGUGUCA